UUUGACAUCAGAGUUUCAUGUUCUUGGGACUUCAGACCUUGAGCUUCAUGCCAGCAGCUCCCCUGGUUCUCUGGUUGCAAAAGGUUUAUGGGUGUUCUGCAUGUGUGCCUGUGAAACACAUAUGUACCUGGUGCCUGAGGAGGUCAGAGAAGGUAUGGGAGCUCCUGGAAGUGAAGUUUGGAUAACCAUGAGCUGCCCACGUGGAUGCUGGGAAUCAAACUUGGAUCUUCUAAAAAACAAGCCACCUCUCUCACCCUGCAAGCUCUGGUUCUAAUGAUCACUUUGCCAAGUCUUCAAAGGAUGAAUUGUUUUUCUAUCAAUUAAUUUUUUUUUAAGUUGAGAUAUUUGAAAGCCAGUUUUGGUAAAAUACAUGGAAAAAAAUAUUUUUUAAAGCCAAAUGGUUAAG
Psammomys obesus (fat sand rat) is the source of this 406-nucleotide long non-coding RNA. RefSeq lists it as uncharacterized. The transcript is spliced from 2 exons. NCBI's taxonomy places the organism in Eukaryota, Metazoa, Chordata, Mammalia, Rodentia, Muridae. The record is from RefSeq and is a predicted model, not a curated record.